Molecule: ribosomal RNA, 253 nt
Filed under: uncultured bacterium
Lineage: Bacteria
Description: partial 16S ribosomal RNA
Rfam family: Bacterial small subunit ribosomal RNA
Source: RNAcentral
UACGGAGGGUGCAAGCGUUAUCCGGAUUCACUGGGUUUAAAGGGUGCGUAGGUGGGUCUGUAAGUCCGUGGUGAAAUCUCCGAGCUUAACUUGGAAACUGCCAUGGAUACUAUAGGUCUUGAAUACUGUGGAGGUCAGCGGAAUAUGUCAUGUAGCGGUGAAAUGCUUAGAUAUGACAUAGAACACCAAUUGCGAAGGCAGCUGGCUACACAAAUAUUGACACUGAUGCACUAAAGCGUGGGGAUCAAACAGG